AACGAACGCUGGCGGCGUGGAUUAGGCAUGCAAGUCGAACGCGAAAGAGGGGGCAACCCCUCAAGUAGAGUGGCGAACGGGUGAGUAACGCGUGAAGAACCUGCCUUCGAGAGGGGGAUAACACUCCCAGCGGGGUGCUAAUACCGCAUGAGACCACGGGUCCACCUGGACCUGAGGUCAAAGGUGGCCUCUGCUUGCAAGCUACCGCUCGAAGAUGGCUUCGCGUCCCAUUAGCUAGUUGGCGGUGUAACGGACCACCAAGGCGACGAUGGGUAGCUGGUCUGAGAGGAUGGUCAGCCACACUGGGACUGAGAUACGGCCCAGACUCCUACGGGAGGCAGCAGUCGAGAGGCUUUGUCAAUGGGGGAAACCCUGAACAAGCGACGCCGCGUGGAGGAUGAAGGCCCUUGGGUUGUAAACUCCUUUUGCUGGGGAAGAAGUGCGAUCAGGUGAACAAUCUGGUCGUUUGACGGUACCCAGCGGAUAAGCUCCGGCUAACUCCGUGCCAGCAGCCGCGGUAACACGGGGGGAGCAAGCGUUGUUCGGAAUCACUGGGCGUAAGGGGCGUGUAGGCGGUCAGAUAAGUGGAAUGUGAAAUGCCCCGGCUCACCCGGGGACCGGCAUCCCAAACUGUCUGGCUUGAGUAUGGGAGAGG
Molecule: ribosomal RNA, 655 nt
Filed under: uncultured Latescibacterota bacterium
Lineage: Bacteria; Pseudomonadati; Candidatus Latescibacterota
Description: bacterial SSU rRNA
Rfam family: Bacterial small subunit ribosomal RNA
Source: RNAcentral